UGAAUAAUAUACACCUGGGUGGCGCCAUCUAGCGGUUUCAAUUGGCGUAACGGAAUGUAUCGAUUUUUUCCAAAAUGUACGUAUUGAUAUCGAUUGAUAAUCGUUUCCACAAGCGAAAUGGUGGAAACUAUUGGUGGAAAGAUUCAUGCCUUCAUUGAAAGUGUCAAGUAUGGCUGUGUCGUGUUAUCGUGUAUGUUCGUGAAUCGUGAUAACGGUAUAACUAACUGAUAACUAAAUUUACAUGAGUUAACAUAGUUAUGCUUUCCAACUGAAGCACUUGACUUGAUCAAGCAGUUAACUGUCGAGUUUGCCUUGGAGGAUGUGACGUCUUUUGCUUCUGCCAGUCAUAUUACUUCUAAUCAUUUCAAGCAACAUGUUAUACCCAUCAUACCUCCACAUGAAAGGACUGCUCAUACAUCCCACGAAAGACUCCCCAGUUGGAGUGAACAAAACUCGAUUUAGGAAAUGAUAUCCAAUCAAUGAGGACAUCUCAAAGGAACAGAGAUUCAGGACUGGAUUAUUUCAUGCUCGCGAUCAGUAUGCUGUCGACCUUGAAGUUACUUAUAACAGCUUGGGAGUCGGUGGAACAAAAAUAAGAACGAGUACGAUCUACGAGAAUUCUCUAGACGGUCUUCCCGACAUAUCUUCAUGACCCUGCAGCAGCUACGUAGCCCCACGUGAGGUUAUGCCUGUCAAGUUAUCAAUGUCAUUUAAGCUCGACUCUAUCUUGGCCUUUUUCUUUUGACUUACGGUCGACAAUAAAAAAGGCGUGCCUUGUUUUUCGGAAAUAAUAGUAUGGACAGCGUGCCCUGGUCAGUUAAUUGAGCCUGGCGUCAUCCAACACUCGAGGGCAGCAGAAGGACGAUCCACAGCUCCCCGGCCGAAUUGCACUGGAGCGAGUCGACGAAGUAGCCAGCAUCCUUCUGAACUCAAUUCAAAGUCUUUUCGAUGUCCAACUUUGCUAAUGGCGGGUCCGCGAUUGCUGUCGCUUCUUGAUUAGAAUCAAACUUGUGGCUUAUGCCUCAUGACUGUUCUUUUGUAGUUUCAAGGCGACCGAAAAGAAAUAACACUGGGCUGUGUUAAGCGAUAGAUGUUUUUUUUUUCGUAACAACUUCUGGAGGCUUAUUGCAUUCUUCAAAGCCUUCUUUUGAUUUCUGUCAAAUCAAGAAGGGACCAUCGGCAUUCAGCUUUCUACGUUGGAAAUAUGUUCCGCCAGUUUUCUGUUUCUUCCGGCUCUCUACUACGGACGUUUUUAUUCGAUGCUGGCGUUCAAUUCUUUCAACC
This is a long non-coding RNA of Daphnia pulicaria, 1284 nucleotides long. RefSeq lists it as uncharacterized. The record is from RefSeq and is a predicted model, not a curated record. Lineage: Eukaryota; Metazoa; Arthropoda; Branchiopoda; Diplostraca; Daphniidae. The transcript is spliced from 7 exons.